This 558-nucleotide ribosomal RNA is filed under the name uncultured bacterium. Its description in RNAcentral is "bacterial SSU rRNA". It matches the Rfam family "Bacterial small subunit ribosomal RNA", at positions 284 to 842 of the family's 1533-position model. The record is from RNAcentral.
UAGGGGUUCUGAGAGGAAGGUCCCCCACAUUGGAACUGAGACACGGUCCAAACUCCUACGGGAGGCAGCAGUGAGGAAUAUUGGUCAAUGGGCGCUAGCCUGAACCAGCCAAGUAGCGUGAAGGAUGACUGCCCUAUGGGUUGUAAACUUCUUUUAUAUGGGAAUAAAGUGCAGUAUGUAUACUGCUUUGCAUGUACCUUAUGAAUAAGGAUCGGCUAACUCCGUGCCAGCAGCCGCGGUAAUACGGAGGAUCCGAGCGUUAUCCGGAUUUAUUGGGUUUAAAGGGAGCGUAGGCGGGUUGUUAAGUCAGUUGUGAAAGUUUGCGGCUCAACCGUAAAAUUGCAGUUGAUACUGGCAUCCUUGAGUACAGUAGAGGUAGGCGGAAUUCGUGGUGUAGCGGUGAAAUGCUUAGAUAUCACGAAGAACUCCGAUUGCGAAGGCAGCCUGCUGGACUGUAACUGACGCUGAUGCUCGAAAGUGUGGGUAUCAAACAGGAUUAGAUACCCUGGUAGUCCACACAGUAAACGAUGAAUACUCGCUGUUUGCGAUAUACAGUAA